UGACCUCGGAUCAGGUAGGGAUACCCGCUGAACUUAAGCAUAUCAAUAAGCGGAGGAAAAGAAACCAACAGGGAUGCCCC
RNAcentral lists this ribosomal RNA (80 nucleotides) under Tuber rufum. RNAcentral describes it as "partial 28S ribosomal RNA". It matches the Rfam family "Eukaryotic large subunit ribosomal RNA", at positions 1 to 80 of the family's 3401-position model. The record is from RNAcentral. Lineage: Eukaryota; Fungi; Ascomycota; Pezizomycetes; Pezizales; Tuberaceae.